CGUUUGAUCCUGGCUCAGAACGAACGCUGGCGGCAGGCCUAACACAUGCAAGUCGAACGCUGCAGCAAUGCAGAGUGGCAGACGGGUGAGUAACGCGUGGGAACCUUCCCAGUGGUACGGAAUAGCUCAGGGAAACUUGAGGUAAUACCGGAUAAGCCCUUACGGGGAAAGAUUUAUCGCCGAAAGAUCGGCCCGCGUCUGAUUAGCUAGUUGGUGAGGUAAUGGCUCACCAAGGCGACGAUCAGUAGCUGGUCUGAGAGGAUGAUCAGCCACAUUGGGACUGAGACACGGCCCAAACUCCUACGGGAGGCAGCAGUGGGGAAUAUUGCGCAAUGGGCGGAAGCCUGACGCAGCGACGCCGCGUGCGGGAUGAAGGCCUUCGGGUUGUAAACCGCUUUCACCAGGGACGAAGCUAACGUGACGGUACCUGGGGAAGAAGCGCCGGCUAACUACGUGCCAGCAGCCGCGGUAAUA
This 474-nucleotide ribosomal RNA is filed under the name uncultured bacterium. RNAcentral's name for it is "bacterial SSU rRNA". It matches the Rfam family "Bacterial small subunit ribosomal RNA", at positions 10 to 525 of the family's 1533-position model. The record is from RNAcentral.